Molecule: small nucleolar RNA, 84 nt
Organism: Nerophis lumbriciformis (worm pipefish)
Lineage: Eukaryota; Metazoa; Chordata; Actinopteri; Syngnathiformes; Syngnathidae
Product: small nucleolar RNA SNORD72
Source: RefSeq, a predicted model, not a curated record
UGCUUGCCAUUGAUGAUGAUCUUAUAAACCAAAUGUCUGAACAACUGACUUCAGAGUGAUUAUCCUUUUUAUCUGAGGCAAGUG